Molecule: RNA transcript, 1144 nt
Organism: Macadamia integrifolia
Lineage: Eukaryota; Viridiplantae; Streptophyta; Magnoliopsida; Proteales; Proteaceae
Gene name: putative RNA methyltransferase At5g10620
Exons: 8
Source: RefSeq, a predicted model, not a curated record
UCCAUGAGUCCAUAUCGAAUUUGAUCGAAGGGCAACAAAACUUAUUAAAAAAAUAAGAAUCAUGACACCAUAGAAAAUAAUCUGAUAGAUCCCUAUAUCCUUAUUCCUUCCUUAGACCCUCCUGCAUUGGGUUGCCUUUUUUAUUACAAAACAUUAUCUCAAUUGAUGCUAGUAUAAGUAGUUAACUGAGAUGCUUUCGCCUGCUCUUAUAUUGGUGUGAUAAAAAUAUCCGUUUGAAGGGGACCCGUAGUGGAUCCGAUAUUGCGCCACUCCAUGGUUUCGGCCUUCCGGGAAUAUGUCCGUUGCACAGCGGAGUCCAAAUCAAAUUGAAUUACUCUCUCUCUCUCUCUCUCUCUCUCUCUCGAUCGAUCGAUCGAUGAUAAUUUCCUUGAGAUCCAAUCCUUUGAAUACGAAGACCCCAACUCGAGGAAGAAAAUGCAAAUACUCGGGCCAAUCAGUGAGAACACUUCCUUUACGUAUAUUAACAGUUGGGAGAAGAAGAUCCCAGGGAGUUCAGCUUUUGGUUGAAGAGUACAAGGAGAAACUCAAGCACUAUUGCAGUGUUGACGAUAUCCAAAUUCGAUCCAAUCCUAAAAAUACUUGUGAUGUGAAUGCUCAGGUUGAAAGGGAAGACAUGGCUGUCAUGCAGCACAUAAGGUCUGAAGAUUGGGUUGUGAUGUUGGAUGAGCAUGGUUCAAACAUAGGAUCUGAGCAAAUGGCAGAAUUGGUGGGAGAUGCAGGGAAAACACUAUAUUUAUUGUUAAACCAAGGGCAACCAUAUUUUUUGUCACCACUUCUUUUCAGGGUUCUUCAAGGUUAUUGUUUUGCAUUGGUGGACCUUAUGGUCAUGGACCACAAUUACGUGAUCGUGCAAAUGUAACAAUCAGGUUGUCUUCUUUGGUUUUAAAUCAUCAAAUUGCAUUGAUAGUGCUACUGGAACAACUUUACAGGGCAUGGACCAUUCUUAAAGGACAGAACUACCAUCACUAGAGGUGUCAUUUUAUUCUUGCAGCCAAGACAUGUAAAUUAGUAUUUUGGAGAGGAUCCUUCUCAUGUAUUUCCUUGUAAAUUGAUACUAAUUGUUGAAUUUUGAAUUCUUCUUUCACAAUAUUUGUUUCUUAUGUCAAAAUCAAUUUUAUUUUUA